RNAcentral lists this ribosomal RNA (448 nucleotides) under uncultured bacterium. RNAcentral's name for it is "partial 16S ribosomal RNA". It matches the Rfam family "Bacterial small subunit ribosomal RNA", at positions 29 to 523 of the family's 1533-position model. The record is from RNAcentral.
AACGAACGCUGGCGGCAUGCCUAAUACAUGCAAGUCGAACGAGACCUUCGGGUCUAGUGGCGCACGGGUGCGUAACGCGUGGGAAUCUACCCUUGGGUUCGGAAUAACAUCGGGAAACUGAUGCUAAUACCGGAUGAUGACGUAAGUCCAAAGAUUUAUCGCCCAGGGAUGAGCCCGAGUAGGAUUAGCUAGUUGGUGAGGUAAAGGCUCACCAAGGCGACGAUCCUUAGCUGGUCAGAGAGGAUGAUCAGCCACACUGGGACUGAGACACGGCCCAGACUCCCACGGGAGGCAGCAGUAGGGAAUAUUGGACAAUGGGGGCAACCCUGAUCAGCAAUGCCGCGUGAGUGAUGAAGGCCUUAGGGUUGUAAAGCUCUUUUACCCGGGAUGAUAAUGACAGUACCGGGAGAAUAGGCCCCGGCUAACUCCGUGCCAGCCGCCGCAGUAA